RNAcentral lists this ribosomal RNA (422 nucleotides) under uncultured Sporocytophaga sp. RNAcentral's name for it is "bacterial SSU rRNA". It matches the Rfam family "Bacterial small subunit ribosomal RNA", at positions 355 to 774 of the family's 1533-position model. Lineage: Bacteria; Pseudomonadati; Bacteroidota; Cytophagia; Cytophagales; Cytophagaceae. The record is from RNAcentral.
UAGGGAAUAUUGGGCAAUGGACGAGAGUCUGACCCAGCCAUGCCGCGUGCAGGAAGAAGGCGUUAUGCGUUGUAAACUGCUUUUGAACGGGAACAAAGAGCCCAUGCGUGGGUAAAUGAGUGUACCGUUAGAAUAAGCACCGGCUAACUCCGUGCCAGCAGCCGCGGUAAUACGGAGGGUGCAAGCGUUGUCCGGAUUUAUUGGGUUUAAAGGGUGCGUAGGCGGUUAACUAAGUCAGUGGUGAAAGGCAGCAGCUUAACUGUUAGCACUGCCAUUGAUACUGGUUGACUUGAGUACAGACGAGGUAGGCGGAAUUUAUGGUGUAGCGGUGAAAUGCAUAGAUACCAUAAAGAACACCGAUUGCGAAGGCAGCUUACUAGACUGUAACUGACGCUGAGGCACGAAAGCGUGGGGAUCGAACA